Molecule: ribosomal RNA, 467 nt
Filed under: Sinochauliodes maculosus
Lineage: Eukaryota; Metazoa; Arthropoda; Insecta; Megaloptera; Corydalidae
Description: partial large subunit ribosomal RNA
Rfam family: Archaeal large subunit ribosomal RNA (bases 1-164)
Source: RNAcentral
UAACCUGCCCACUGAAAUUUUUGAAGGGCCGCGGUAUUUUGACUGUGCAAAGGUAGCAUAAUCAUUAGUCUUUUAAUUGGAGGCUUGUAUGAAUGGUUGGAUGAGGUAUUAACUGUCUCAAUUUAAUAAAUAAUAGAAUUUUAUUUUUAAGUUAAAAAGCUUAAAUAUUAUUAAAAGACGAGAAGACCCUAUAGAUCUUUAUAAUUAGAUUUAUAAUAAUUUUUUGGAUUAAAUUUAUUUUUAUAGAAAUAAUUAUUAUAUUGGGGUGAUAAAAAAAUUUGUUAAACUUUUUUUUAAUAUAAACAAUAAUAUUUGAUUAGUUGAUCCAUUUUUUGUGAUUAUAAGAUUAAGUUACCUUAGGGAUAACAGCGUAAUUUUUUUGGAGAGUUCUUAUCGAUAAAAAAGAUUGCGACCUCGAUGUUGAAUUAAAGGUUAAUUUUAGGUGUAGAAGUUUAAAAUUUUGGUCU